Molecule: long non-coding RNA, 309 nt
Organism: Panthera uncia (snow leopard)
Lineage: Eukaryota; Metazoa; Chordata; Mammalia; Carnivora; Felidae
Exons: 4
Source: RefSeq, a predicted model, not a curated record
GGGGCCUCGCGAGGUCUUCCCUGGUGUGAACCUGCUGCAGUACACCAGCGGCACGCCGGUCCUGGGGCACAUCCGACCAGGUCCUGGGGCCACAUCCGACCAGGUCCUGGGGCCACAUCCGACCAGGUCCUGGGGCCACAUCCGACCAGGUCCUGGGGGCACAUCCGACCUGGUCGUGGGGGCACAUCCGACCUGGUCCUGGGGCCACAUCCGCCCGUCUUGGGCCACAUCUGACCAGGUCUUGGGGCACAUCUGACCAGGUCUUGGGGCACAUCUGACCAGAUUUUGGGGCACAUCCGCCCGUCCUGG